CCUACGGGGGGCAGCAAUUAGGAAUCUUGCGCAAUGGGGGAAACCCUGACGCAGCGACGCCGCGUGCAGGACGAAGGCCUUCGGGUUGUAAAGCUCUGUCAGAGGGGAAGAAAUGCAGGUGGUGAACAACCAUUCUGUUUGACGGUACCCUCAAAGGAAGCACCGGCUAACUCCGUGCCAGCAGCCGCGGUAAUACGGAGGGCGCGAGCGUUGUUCGGAAUUAUUGGGCGUAAAGCGCGUGUAGGCGGUUUGUUAAGUCUGAUGUGAAAGCCCCGGGCUCAACCUGGGAAGUGCAUUGGAUACUGGCAGACUUGAGUACGGGAGAGGAGAGUGGAAUUCCCAGUGUAGGAGUGAGAUCCGUAGAUAUUGGGAGGAACAC
This 379-nucleotide ribosomal RNA is filed under the name uncultured Geobacteraceae bacterium. RNAcentral describes it as "partial 16S ribosomal RNA". It matches the Rfam family "Bacterial small subunit ribosomal RNA", at positions 338 to 709 of the family's 1533-position model. The record is from RNAcentral. Lineage: Bacteria; Pseudomonadati; Thermodesulfobacteriota; Desulfuromonadia; Geobacterales; Geobacteraceae.